RNAcentral lists this ribosomal RNA (213 nucleotides) under Fusobacterium periodonticum. Its description in RNAcentral is "partial 23S ribosomal RNA". It matches the Rfam family "Bacterial large subunit ribosomal RNA", at positions 1 to 207 of the family's 2925-position model. The record is from RNAcentral. Lineage: Bacteria; Fusobacteriati; Fusobacteriota; Fusobacteriia; Fusobacteriales; Fusobacteriaceae.
GUUGUAUAGUUAAGUGACUAAGCGUACAAGGUGGAUGCCUUGGCAAUCAGAGGCGACGAAGGACGUGCUAAUCUGCGAAAAGCUUGGAUGAGUCGAUAAGAGGCGUUUAAUCCAAGAUGUCCGAAUGGGGAAACCCAGUAGAUGAAGAAUCUACUAUCACUUACUGAAUACAUAGGCAAGUGAAGCAAACCGGGAGAACUGAAACAUCUAAGU